Molecule: small nuclear RNA, 107 nt
Organism: Suncus etruscus (white-toothed pygmy shrew)
Lineage: Eukaryota; Metazoa; Chordata; Mammalia; Eulipotyphla; Soricidae
Source: RefSeq, a predicted model, not a curated record
GUACUCGCUUUGGAGGCACAUAUACUAAAAUUGGGACGAUCCAGAGAAGAUUAGCAUGGCCCCAGCUCAAAGAUGACAUGCAAAUUCUUGAAGCAUUCCAUAUUAAA